Molecule: ribosomal RNA, 761 nt
Filed under: Prevotella melaninogenica
Lineage: Bacteria; Pseudomonadati; Bacteroidota; Bacteroidia; Bacteroidales; Prevotellaceae
Description: bacterial SSU rRNA
Rfam family: Bacterial small subunit ribosomal RNA
Source: RNAcentral
GAUGAACGCUAGCUACAGGCUUAACACAUGCAAGUCGAGGGGAAACGGCAUUGAGUGCUUGCACUCUUUGGACGUCGACCGGCGCACGGGUGAGUAACGCGUAUCCAACCUUCCCAUUACUGUGGGAUAACCUGCCGAAAGGCAGACUAAUACCGCAUAGUCUUCGAUGACGGCAUCAGAUUUGAAGUAAAGAUUCAUCGGUAAUGGAUGGGGAUGCGUCUGAUUAGCUUGUUGGCGGGGUAACGGCCCACCAAGGCAACGAUCAGUAGGGGUUCUGAGAGGAAGGUCCCCCACAUUGGAACUGAGACACGGUCCAAACUCCUACGGGAGGCAGCAGUGAGGAAUAUUGGUCAAUGGACGGAAGUCUGAACCAGCCAAGUAGCGUGCAGGAUGACGGCCCUAUGGGUUGUAAACUGCUUUUGUAUGGGGAUAAAGUUAGGGACGUGUCCCUAUUUGCAGGUACCAUACGAAUAAGGACCGGCUAAUUCCGUGCCAGCAGCCGCGGUAAUACGGAAGGUCCAGGCGUUAUCCGGAUUUAUUGGGUUUAAAGGGAGCGUAGGCUGGAGAUUAAGUGUGUUGUGAAAUGUAGACGCUCAACGUCUGAAUUGCAGCGCAUACUGGUUUCCUUGAGUACGCACAACGUUGGCGGAAUUCGUCGUGUAGCGGUGAAAUGCUUAGAUAUGACGAAGAACUCCGAUUGCGAAGGCAGCUGACGGGAGCGCAACUGACGCUUAAGCUCGAAGGUGCGGGUAUCAAACAGG